Non-coding RNA from Massilia sp. NR 4-1, 361 nucleotides. It matches the Rfam family "transfer-messenger RNA". From Rfam's summary of the family: Bacterial tmRNA, also known as 10Sa RNA or SsrA, is named for its dual tRNA and mRNA-like properties. Its role is to liberate the mRNA from a stalled ribosome. To accomplish this part of the tmRNA is used as a reading frame that ends in a translation stop signal. The record is from Rfam. NCBI's taxonomy places the organism in Bacteria, Pseudomonadati, Pseudomonadota, Betaproteobacteria, Burkholderiales, Oxalobacteraceae.
GGGGACGACCUGGCUUCGACGUGGGUUGCAAAGCAGAACAGGGCAUACCGAGGGCUGGUUACCUCGUAAAUACACCCAGAAACAAACUAACUGCAAACGAUAACUCGUACGCACUGGCAGCCUAAGGGCUGUUAGCUCCUCAACGCUUCUUCCCUGGGGCGGGCCGUUAAAAGCUGAGGAGUCAUUUACAGGGAAUCGCGCUGCUACGGGUCACUUGGAUCAGCGCUAAAUUUAAGGUGAAUCGCCAGUACAAAGCGUGCACAUUCGCGUUGUGCUGGUUAAAUUAAAAGAUAGUGCUAAGUAUGUAGAACUGUCUGUAGAGUGCUUGCGGACGCGGGUUCGAUUCCCGCCGUCUCCACCA